Molecule: long non-coding RNA, 660 nt
Organism: Prosopis cineraria
Lineage: Eukaryota; Viridiplantae; Streptophyta; Magnoliopsida; Fabales; Fabaceae
Exons: 3
Source: RefSeq, a predicted model, not a curated record
AUUUAUUACAUUCACCAAACAAGCUUGGAAUCAUUCAAUGUUUUAGAGAGACUUAAAAGUUGAGUGUCCCAGUUUCAUCUAUUAAGUCAUAAGCCCAUAACAGAACCCCAAGACAAGCCUCUCCCGUCACCCUCUUCAUUCUUUGUCUGUGUAAGUUCUUCACUCUAAAGUUGAUGUAGGCUAGGAAUCGCGGUGAUCUCGGCGACGGUGAUCUGGACAAUGCACUCAGAUUCUCAGCCUCUCCUCCCUCAUAGUGUUCGUGAUUAAGGUGCUUGCUCUCUAACUCCAUCAACUCGCGAUUCAAGUCUCUGCUUCAGCUUUCAGAGUUGUGUGGGCCCCAUGGACUAGGUAGUAGACACAUAUUUUAUAAUGACGAUCCUCAGCACAUGCUAUCUCAUGUUACUCUCAACGAUCAACUUCCAAAGGGGGUCUUCUCAUUGCUGAAGUUGUCGCUGUUUCUAACACUGCUCGAGUGUGUCAUAGAACACCAGGGACAUGGACGAACAAGCAAGUCGAAUCAUGGAAAGCAAUUGUGGAUACUGUUCAUGACAAAGGUGGUAUCUUCUUUUGUCAGAUUUGGCACGGUGGAAGGAUUUCAAGUUCAGGUACUUUCUCAGCUUCACUGUUACAAAAUACUCUUUUCACACUGGUUAAAGGACC